CCUUACACAUGCAAGUCGAACGGUAGGAGGGCAACCCUCGAGAGUGGCGAACGGGUGAGUAACGCAUCGGAACGUGCCCAGUAGGUGGGGAUACGCCCGGCGAAAGCCGGAUUAAUACCGCAUACGACCUAUGGGUGAAAGCGGGGGACCGUAAGGCCUCGCGCUAUUGGAGCGGCCGAUGUCAGAUUAGGUAGUUGGUGGGGUAAAAGCCUACCAAGCCGACGAUCUGUAGCUGGUCUGAGAGGACGACCAGCCACACUGGGACUGAGACACGGCCCAGACUCCUACGGGAGGCAGCAGUGGGGAAUUUUGGACAAUGGGCGCAAGCCUGAUCCAGCCAUGCCGCGUGCGGGAAGAAGGCCUUCGGGUUGUAAACCGCUUUUGUCAGGGAAGAAAUCUUUUGGGCUAACACCUCGGAAGGAUGACGGUACCUGAAGAAUAAGCACCGGCUAACUACGUGCCAGCAGCCGCG
This 472-nucleotide ribosomal RNA is filed under the name uncultured bacterium. Its description in RNAcentral is "bacterial SSU rRNA". It matches the Rfam family "Bacterial small subunit ribosomal RNA", at positions 47 to 519 of the family's 1533-position model. The record is from RNAcentral.